GGCUUGCUUUGGAGCAAACCCUAGAGGCGAAGACGGUUCGUCGAUCCGACAAGUGGGUGCGAAGAUAUCGCCAUUUGUUGUGCUAAGGGGUUAAAGCUAACCCAACAAAAAUUAAGCGGCGACAAGACUAGCACGAGAACGCGUCUCGGAGUGUUUUCGGCAUCACCCAAGGUACACAGGACAGCGGGCCUUCGGCAAUGGAUCGUGGUAAGGGCAUAGCGCCCUAGCUUUUGGUAGAUAGCCUACCUUACCUACUUGCAUUAGCUCUAUACCCUGUACUUUUGGUUAUGUUUUGAGAGUAGAUGUUGUAUAGGGUGAGGUUUUGGAGAGUUCAUGAUGUAUAUUCAUUUGAGAAAAGAAUGCAAGUUGUAUUAAAUGAUUAAAGUUUAAAAUGUUAUCGAAAGAGGUUAAAUGUUUCAA
This is a long non-coding RNA of Ananas comosus (pineapple), 420 nucleotides long. RefSeq lists it as uncharacterized. The record is from RefSeq and is a predicted model, not a curated record. The transcript is spliced from 3 exons. Lineage: Eukaryota; Viridiplantae; Streptophyta; Magnoliopsida; Poales; Bromeliaceae.